Molecule: transfer RNA, 76 nt
Filed under: Acidimicrobiia bacterium
Lineage: Bacteria; Bacillati; Actinomycetota; Acidimicrobiia
Also listed under: 1 other name
Description: tRNA-Leu
Rfam family: tRNA
About the family: Transfer RNA (tRNA) molecules are approximately 80 nucleotides in length. Their secondary structure includes four short double-helical elements and three loops (D, anti-codon, and T loops).
Source: RNAcentral
GCCCCCGUAGCCCAACUGGCAGCAGGCAUCCGGCUUAAACCCGGUCACGGUGCGGGUUCGAGUCCCGCCGGGGGCA